GUAGGUGGCAAGCGUUGUUCGGAAUUAUUGGGCGUAAAGCGCGCGCAGGCGGUCCUUUAAGUCUGAUGUGAAAGCCCACGGCUCAACCGUGGAGGGUCAUUGGAAACUGGGGGACUUGAGUACAGAAGAGGAAAGCGGAAUUCCAAGUGUAGCGGUGAAAUGCGUAGAGAUUUGGAGGAACACCAGUGGCGAAGGCGGCUUUCUGGUCUGUAACUGACGCUGAGGCGCGAAAGCGUGGGGAGCAAACAGGAUUAGAUACCCUGGUAGUCCACGCCGUAAACGAUGAGUGCUAAGUGUUAGGGGGUUUCCCGCCCCCUUAGUGCUGCAGCUAACGCAUUAAGCACUCCGCCUGGGGAGUACGGCCGCAAGGCUG
Molecule: ribosomal RNA, 373 nt
Filed under: uncultured organism
Description: partial 16S ribosomal RNA
Rfam family: Bacterial small subunit ribosomal RNA
Source: RNAcentral